Long non-coding RNA from Xiphophorus hellerii (green swordtail), 485 nucleotides. RefSeq lists it as uncharacterized. NCBI's taxonomy places the organism in Eukaryota, Metazoa, Chordata, Actinopteri, Cyprinodontiformes, Poeciliidae. The transcript is spliced from 2 exons. The record is from RefSeq and is a predicted model, not a curated record.
UGCUCUUUUUCUUUUUCUUUAAUCAAACUUUGGUGGGGUUUCUUUGUUAACCGUGUAAAGAGAAGCCAUGUUUGUCACUGUGGGAUGCAGGCAGGCACCUGCACUGGGCACCAGCCAACAUAUGCUUCUCAUCAGCGCCGAAACUUGGCAGCUCGUAUCCUGAGAAAGUGCUCGGUUGUUGUAGUUGGACAUGACUCCUACAUCCGUCAGCUUUAAAACUGUGGCGUGAAAGAAGAGCCUGCAGUGGCUUUGAAAUGUUCUGAUGCUCUUACAAGUCUCACGGUCUUACAGUACAAGAAGAAAAACGCCAAAUAAGGCAAGAAAUUAGUCAUUUAUCUUUAUUUUUUUUAACCUGUUUAGGCCAUGAUCAAAUGAUUGAUACGUCCCCUACAUAAAGGGGACGGAUCACGUGCAAAAUUCAUAUUUUGCAUGUGUUUGUACUUCCAUUUGGGUGUCAACCACUUCUAGAAACAACCCAAGUGCUU